CUCAUGUACGGUUCUGUAAAGGGACAGUAAGGGUGACUUAUCUGUCGACUUUUCCACUAUCAACCCCAAAAACCCAACUCUGCCUUACGUAAAGUUGCCAGAGUACGAUUAACCUCUCCGCCUAUAAAGCUCUUUUGUCGAGUGCGCGAUCAUGACAGGACUCGAGGAAGAAGCCCCGGCUAACUCCGUGCCAGCAGCCACGGUAAGACGGGGGGGGCAAGUGUUCUUCGGAAUGACUGGGCGUAAAGAGCACGUAGGCGUGAAUCGGGUUGAAAGUGAAAGUUGCCAAAAAGUGGCGGAAUGCUCUCGAAACCAAUUCACUUGAGUGAGACAGAGGAGAGUGGAAUUUCGUGUGUAGGGGUGAAAUCCGUAGAUCUAUGAAGGAACGCCAAAAGCGAAGGCAGCUCUCUGGGUCCGCUCCGCGCCACUUACUCGGGACUAUAUAGUUCUGUCUAUAGCUAGUGCUUACUUU
This 472-nucleotide non-coding RNA is filed under the name Triticum aestivum (bread wheat). RNAcentral's name for it is "Bacterial small subunit ribosomal RNA". It matches the Rfam family "Bacterial small subunit ribosomal RNA", at positions 1 to 808 of the family's 1533-position model. Lineage: Eukaryota; Viridiplantae; Streptophyta; Magnoliopsida; Poales; Poaceae. The record is from Rfam by way of RNAcentral.